GUUAUAUUGGGAUGAAAACAAAAGUGUGCCUCCAGUUCAGUUUGGAGUGUGAUCCCUAGGAACCGGAAUGAAUAAAAUAGGCCGGAAAGGCUUGCAUGCCUUACAUCCUUAAUGCAGCUGGUGUGCCGCGCUGCUCGAAGGCAGAGACUUGGCGUCAUGGUCCUUAGUGGACCGGCCUUUAUCUCAGCAUUAAGAUCCCUGAUGGCAAAUAACAGUGAUUGCGCCUCAUUGGAAAAUAUUGUGGCUGCCAUUGUACUUCUUAAGAGAUUCCCCACCUCCUUCUUUUUCCCUGCGUUCAUUCCAACAUACUCUCUUGUAGAAUGUUCUCCACUCCUCUUCACUCAGAGGGAGGCAACGAAUUGGUCUACUCUCCAAGGAAAACUUUAUAGUAUAGCCAGGGACUGUGCCUGGCCAGAGUCUGCUGUUGCUAAGAAAAUCAAUUCAAUAAAUUUAAUUCAUUAAAAAACGUCCAUGAUUCAAAACACUACUAAAGCAUCACAUUAUUAUUUACGUUGAAAAGUGGGACUGUAAACAGCCAAUGUUUAAUUUGAAGAAAUUAUUUGAGUUAUUGGACAUGAAUUCAAAUCACUUUUAUUAAAUAACUCCUUGUGCCCAUGACUAUGCUAUGUGCCAGGUUCCUGAUUUUAGUGGAAGCA
This 656-nucleotide long non-coding RNA is filed under the name Sus scrofa (pig). RNAcentral's name for it is "lncRNA (ENSSSCG00045038417.1)". The record is from RNAcentral. Lineage: Eukaryota; Metazoa; Chordata; Mammalia; Artiodactyla; Suidae.